CCCUGCUGGCCCCGGAGGAGUCCGAGUGCUCUGUGCUGGAAGAAGAGGAGUCGAGGCUGCUGGAGACAUCAGGGCUCAGUGGCUCUGUGGCAGUGAUGCGCUGCAUCAGCUCUUGCGUUUGGCAGCUGUUUGCAGUGGCUUUGGUCCCCUCUCUUGUGACACCGGGCAGGUCCUGCUUGUGCUGGGGGACCUCCAGAGCCGCUUCUGAAAAAGCAAGAACAUCCCCCCGAACGAUGAUGGCAGCCUUCCCACAGCCACUCGGUGCAGGCAGCCACCUCUGGGGGUCACCUCUGCGGAGCACAGUCUCACCGUCAAUCCAGGUGAGCAAACGGUCCAUUUCCACAUCAUCGUUGUCAAGUCUGCGGGUGCUGGGUGUCUCUUCUGGAAAAGGCAGAAAAUGCCCAGCGGGGCAAUGGCAAUGCCGGCUUUCCCACGCCCACUCAGUGCAGACACCCCCCCAGCAGCUCUGCUGCCCCUCCGAGAGAGACUCACCGUUGUUGAUCCACGUGAGCAGGUCAUCGAUGUCUGCGUCGUCGUACAGGAUGCCUGUCUUGGAUGUCACUUCUGGAAAAGGCAGAAAAUGCCCGGUGGGGCAAUGCCAGCUUUCUUUCCCACACCCAGUG
RNAcentral lists this long non-coding RNA (623 nucleotides) under Gallus gallus (chicken). Its description in RNAcentral is "lncRNA (ENSGALG00010029077.1)". The record is from RNAcentral. Lineage: Eukaryota; Metazoa; Chordata; Aves; Galliformes; Phasianidae.